RNAcentral lists this long non-coding RNA (288 nucleotides) under Mus musculus (house mouse). RNAcentral's name for it is "predicted gene, 69815". The record is from RNAcentral. Lineage: Eukaryota; Metazoa; Chordata; Mammalia; Rodentia; Muridae.
AGCAUCUAAGGAGAGUUUUGUGACAAAGAUCUGGAAAUGGUAGUGCAGUCUCCACAUUCACAUAACAAAAAGUGGAUCAGUAUUCAUUUUGUCUGAUUGUUCUCUUCCAUUUGAUAUCUGAAAGGUGAAUCUGAGUUAUUAACAUUUUUCUAAAUACCAGCUGUUAAGACUUGAUGAAAUGGCUGGAAGCAAUGCCACUGGUGUGACAGAAUUCAUUCUCUUGGGGUUUGCAGUCCAGCGAGAGAAAUAUAAACCAUAUGUCCACAGAGUGCAAAUCAGACUCACAGA